UACGAAGGGGCUAGCGUUGCUCGGAAUCACUGGGCGUAAAGGGUGCGUAGGCGGGUCUUUAAGUCAGGGUGAAUCCUGGAGCUCAACUCCAGAACUGGCCUUUGAUACUGAGGAUCUUGAGUUCGGGAGAGGUGAGUGGAACUGCGAGUGUAGAGGUGAAAUUCGUAGAUAUUCGCAAGAACACCAGUGGCGAAGGCGGCUCACUGGCCCGAUACUGACGCUGAGGCACGGAAAGC
Molecule: ribosomal RNA, 236 nt
Filed under: uncultured bacterium
Lineage: Bacteria
Description: partial 16S ribosomal RNA
Rfam family: Bacterial small subunit ribosomal RNA
Source: RNAcentral